UGCCCCGUGGUGUAAUGGUAACACAUCUGAUUUUGGUUCAGUUAUUCAAGGUUCGAAUCCUUGCGGGGUAG
RNAcentral lists this transfer RNA (71 nucleotides) under Verrucomicrobiota bacterium. RNAcentral describes it as "Verrucomicrobia bacterium tRNA-Gln". It matches the Rfam family "tRNA". From Rfam's summary of the family: Transfer RNA (tRNA) molecules are approximately 80 nucleotides in length. Their secondary structure includes four short double-helical elements and three loops (D, anti-codon, and T loops). Further hydrogen bonds mediate the characteristic L-shaped molecular structure. tRNAs have two regions of fundamental functional importance: the anti-codon, which is responsible for specific mRNA codon recognition, and the 3' end, to which the tRNAs corresponding amino acid is attached (by aminoacyl-tRNA synthetases). tRNAs cope with the degeneracy of the genetic code in two manners: having more than one tRNA (with a specific anti-codon) for a particular amino acid; and 'wobble' base-pairing, i.e. permitting non-standard base-pairing at the 3rd anti-codon position. Lineage: Bacteria; Pseudomonadati; Verrucomicrobiota. The record is from RNAcentral.